CAACUACAUAGAAACCAUCACAGC
This 24-nucleotide non-coding RNA is filed under the name Cricetulus griseus (Chinese hamster). The record is from RNAcentral. Lineage: Eukaryota; Metazoa; Chordata; Mammalia; Rodentia; Cricetidae.